RNAcentral lists this ribosomal RNA (250 nucleotides) under uncultured soil bacterium. Its description in RNAcentral is "partial 16S ribosomal RNA". It matches the Rfam family "Bacterial small subunit ribosomal RNA", at positions 26 to 278 of the family's 1533-position model. The record is from RNAcentral.
AGAUUGAACGCUGGCGGCAUGCCUUACACAUGCAAGUCGAGCGGCAGCACGGGAGCAAUCCUGGUGGCGAGUGGCGAACGGGUGAGUAAUACAUCGGAACGUGCCUAGUAGUGGGGGAUAGCCCGGCGAAAGCCGGAUUAAUACCGCAUACGACCUACGGGUGAAAGCGGGGGAUCGCAAGACCUCGCGCUAUUGGAGCGGCUGAUGUCAGAUUAGGUAGUUGGUAGGGUAAAAGCCUACCAAGCCGACG